UAGAUCGUGAGGAGUUACUGAUGCAUAAUCCGACACUUGAUCCGAGGGUUAGCAUGAGCCACCCGUGUGAUGUCAUCUUUACAUCUGAAUCCAU
Triticum urartu is the source of this 94-nucleotide non-coding RNA. The record is from Rfam. Lineage: Eukaryota; Viridiplantae; Streptophyta; Magnoliopsida; Poales; Poaceae.